ACCGCCCGUCAAGCCAUCCGAGUGAAUUCUUGGUGAAGUUUGUGAUGAGCAAAUUGAAUCAAGUGUUUGCAAGGAGGGCUAAGUCGUAAC
RNAcentral lists this ribosomal RNA (90 nucleotides) under Microcaldota archaeon. RNAcentral's name for it is "partial 16S ribosomal RNA". The record is from RNAcentral. Lineage: Archaea; Nanobdellati; Microcaldota.